AUGAAAUCUACGCAAAGAAGCGAGAGUAUGAAUGCACUAUUGAAGCGAUACUUGCAUGUUCGCCUUGAUUUAUUAGAUUUCUUCAAGCACUAUGAGAGGGCCGUAGAUGAUAGAAGGUAUGCUGAAGUGGAAAGUGAUUUCUAUGCGAGUCAAACAUCACCAAAAGUGCCACAUGUGCAGAUGUUGAUUCAAACUUCCAAAGUAUAUACACCUGCUAUGUUCGAGGUAUUUAAAGAAGAAUUUGACAUGGUAAUGGGAUAUUGUGUGUAUGAAAGUGGCCGUACUGCCUCUAUUUCUGAAUUCAAGGUUACCCAUUCAGCUAGCCAAAAUAGUCAUACAGUGAAAUUUGAUCACGAUGGAUCAAAAGUUUCCUGCUCAUGCAAAAAGUUUGAAUUUAUUGGGGUCUUGCGUCGUCAUGCAUUGAAGGUGUUGGACCACAACAAUAUUAAGGAGUUGGCACCGGAAUAUAUCUUGAAAAGAUGGACAAGGCAAGCAAAAUCAGGGCCAUCAUAUGCAAUUCAAAAGUGCGCUGAUGAUGAAGAUGCUAGAGUUGUGCUAGCUAGGCAGUAUGGAUCACUAUGUCGCACUUACAAUAACAUUUUGAGCAAAGCAGCAGCAAACAAAGAGGCAUAUGCACUACUACAAAGUAUGUCAAUAGAACUAAUGGAAAAGGUGGACCAGAUUUUACAUGGAAGCAACCAAUCGAAAGAUAUACCAUCAAAUCAUGAACAAGCUGAGAAACAAGCAGAGAAACAGCCAGUUAAAUGCAACAAUGAGAAUGUUGUCCAAGCAAAAGGAAUAAGGAGAAAAGAAAAAGGAAAUAGCAGUAAGAGGAUUAAAUUUGGAUUGGAACUAAACAAAAAGAAUACACACAAGAAAGGUCAAGCAACAACAUGCAAGAAUAAGAAUGGUGAUUGUGCUUCUGCCUCAACUGAAGCAAAUCCUAGCUUCACCAUGUCAAAUCAGUACUCCAACUUGCAAGUACUGCAGAGUGCCAUGCCUCUAGUACCACAUGCUACGAACUACAGUUUGCAAGUAUCAUCGCACGCUAUGCCUCCACUACCACAUGCUGCGAACUACAGUUCGCAAGUAUUGUCGCACGCUAUCCCUCCGAACCCACAAGCUACGAACUACAAUUCGCAAGUAUUUCCGCGCGCUAUGCCUCCGCACCCACAAGCUACAAACUCCAAUUUGCAAGUAUUGCCGCAUGCUAUGCCUCCGCAACCACAGGCAGAAAACUACAAUUUGCAUCUACUUCCUCAGACCAUGACACCAGUGCCACAGCCACAGAAUUAUAAUUUGCAAGUACUGCAUCACGGCCUGCCUCAACUACCGCAGGCAGAUGCUACUUCUUUUCAGCAGUUACUCGGCUUGCAACCACAACAACCAUAUUUCUAUUAUGGCACUCAACCAAGUCAGAGUUCUGUAUUGAUACCGAACUCGGAAUGGCCAGCAUAUCAAAAUGACCAGCUGCCGACUAAGGACUUGGGUAGCCAAUCAAGCCAUGGACAAGAUAGCACUUUUAAAUAG
Molecule: ribosomal RNA, 1530 nt
Filed under: Triticum aestivum (bread wheat)
Lineage: Eukaryota; Viridiplantae; Streptophyta; Magnoliopsida; Poales; Poaceae
Description: partial small subunit ribosomal RNA
Source: RNAcentral